UGGCCUUGACAUGUCGCGAAUCCUGCAGAGAUGCGGGAGUGCCUUCGGGAAUGCGAACACAGGUGCUGCAUGGCUGUCGUCAGCUCGUGUCGUGAGAUGUUGGGUUAAGUCCCGCAACGAGCGCAACCCUUGUCCUUAGUUGCCAGCACGUAAAGGUGGGAACUCUAAGGAGACUGCCGGUGACAAACCGGAGGAAGGUGGGGAUGACGUUCGUCUGAC
Molecule: unclassified non-coding RNA, 219 nt
Filed under: uncultured Rhodanobacteraceae bacterium
Lineage: Bacteria; Pseudomonadati; Pseudomonadota; Gammaproteobacteria; Lysobacterales; Rhodanobacteraceae
Description: contains 16S-23S intergenic spacer region
Rfam family: Bacterial small subunit ribosomal RNA
Source: RNAcentral